AUUGAACGCUGGCGGCAGGCCUAACACAUGCAAGUCGAACGGUAACAGGAAGAAGCUUGCUUCUUUGCUGACGAGUGGCGGACGGGUGAGUAAUGUCUGGGAAACUGCCUGAUGGAGGGGGAUAACUACUGGAAACGGUAGCUAAUACCGCAUAACGUCGCAAGACCAAAGAGGGGGACCUUCGGGCCUCUUGCCAUCGGAUGUGACCAGAUGGGAUUAGCUAGUAGGUGGGGUAACGGCUCACCUAGGCGACGAUCCCUAGCUGGUCUGAGAGGAUGACCAGCCACACUGGAACUGAGACACGGUCCAGACUCCUACGGGAGGCAGCAGUGGGGAAUAUUGCACAAAGGGCGCAAGCCUGAUGCAGCCAUGCCGCGUGUAUGAAGAAGGCCUUCGGGUUGUAAAGUACUUUCAGCGGGGAGGAAGGGAGUAAAGUUAAUACCUUUGCUCAUUGACGUUACCCGCAGAAGAAGCACCGGCUAACUCCGUG
RNAcentral lists this ribosomal RNA (490 nucleotides) under uncultured bacterium. RNAcentral describes it as "partial 16S ribosomal RNA". It matches the Rfam family "Bacterial small subunit ribosomal RNA", at positions 30 to 507 of the family's 1533-position model. The record is from RNAcentral.